CUAUGCGCCUUGCCAGCCCGCUCAGGUGUGCCAGCAGCCGCGGUAAUACGUAGGGGGCGAGCGUUAUCCGGAUUCACUGGGUGUAAAGGGAGCGUAGGCGGUUUAGCAAGUCAGAAGUGAAAGCCCGGGGCUCAACUCCGGGACUGCUUUUGAAACUGUUGAACUAGAUUGCAGGAGAGGUAAGUGGAAUUCCUAGUGUAGCGGUGAAAUGCGUAGAUAUUAGGAGGAACACCAGUGGCGAAGGCGGCUUACUGGACUGUAAAUGACGCUGAGGCUCGAAAGCGUGGGGAGCAAACAGG
This 299-nucleotide ribosomal RNA is filed under the name uncultured bacterium. RNAcentral's name for it is "partial 16S ribosomal RNA". It matches the Rfam family "Bacterial small subunit ribosomal RNA", at positions 475 to 776 of the family's 1533-position model. The record is from RNAcentral.